This 1141-nucleotide ribosomal RNA is filed under the name Salmonella enterica subsp. enterica serovar Kentucky. RNAcentral describes it as "partial 23S ribosomal RNA". It matches the Rfam family "Bacterial large subunit ribosomal RNA", at positions 512 to 1554 of the family's 2925-position model. The record is from RNAcentral. Lineage: Bacteria; Pseudomonadati; Pseudomonadota; Gammaproteobacteria; Enterobacterales; Enterobacteriaceae.
AGGCGAAAAGAACCCCGGCGAGGGGAGUGAAAAAGAACCUGAAACCGUGUACGUACAAGCAGUGGGAGCCCCACCACCAAAGCAUUCUCUGGUGUUGAAGGCCCUGCAAAGCAGCAUCGCGGUGGCGGAGCGUCGUUUGCGACGCCCAACACACAAAACAAGCGGUGAGUGCUUUGGGGUGGGGUGACUGCGUACCUUUUGUAUAAUGGGUCAGCGACUUAUAUUCUGUAGCAAGGUUAACCGUAUAGGGGAGCCGAAGGGAAACCGAGUCUUAACUGGGCGUUAAGUUGCAGGGUAUAGACCCGAAACCCGGUGAUCUAGCCAUGGGCAGGUUGAAGGUUGGGUAACACUAACUGGAGGACCGAACCGACUAAUGUUGAAAAAUUAGCGGAUGACUUGUGGCUGGGGGUGAAAGGCCAAUCAAACCGGGAGAUAGCUGGUUCUCCCCGAAAGCUAUUUAGGUAGCGCCUCGUGAACUCAUCUUCGGGGGUAGAGCACUGUUUCGGCUAGGGGGUCAUCCCGACUUACCAACCCGAUGCAAACUGCGAAUACCGAAGAAUGUUAUCACGGGAGACACACGGCGGGUGCUAACGUCCGUCGUGAAGAGGGAAACAACCCAGACCGCCAGCUAAGGUCCCAAAGUCACAGUUAAGUGGGAAACGAUGUGGGAAGGCUCAGACAGCCAGGAUGUUGGCUUAGAAGCAGCCAUCAUUUAAAGAAAGCGUAAUAGCUCACUGGUCGAGUCGGCCUGCGCGGAAGAUGUAACGGGGCUAAACUGUGCACCGAAGCUGCGGCAGCGACGCUUAUGCGUUGUUGGGUAGGGGAGCGUUCUGUAAGCCUGCGAAGGUGUCCUGUGAGGGAUGCUGGAGGUAUCAGAAGUGCGAAUGCUGACAUAAGUAACGAUAAUGCGGGUGAAAAGCCCGCUCGCCGGAAGACCAAGGGUUCCUGUCCAACGUUAAUCGGGGCAGGGUGAGUCGACCCCUAAGGCGAGGCCGAAAGGCGUAGUCGAUGGGAAACGGGUUAAUAUUCCCGUACUUGGUGUUACUGCGAAGGGGGGACGGAGAAGGCUAUGUUGGCCGGGCGACGGUUGUCCCGGUUUAAGCGUGUAGGCUGGUUUUCCAGGCAAAUCCGGAAAAUCAAG